CAGAAUAGCCCUGGCAGUUCCAGUGAGUCAUGAACUUGAGGAGGUCUGGCUCUAAUCUGAUCAUCAGUGUGUGCAGACCACACUGGGACAGCAGGCGACGGGAGCAGUAGAGCCGAAUAAACAUUUCUCCUCUCAAUCUUCCUCUCCGUGGGCUCUCUGCGCAGCCAUUCUCCCUGGACAGCUUGCUAUAAGAAAGAAAGGCUUUAGAAGCCUUAUCUCGCCUCACUCACUAACAUGGAGCCUGAAACGGCUUAAUCUUCAGCUGGCUCAUGAGAAACAAGCAGGGAAUCUGGACUCCCACCCCACAUGAAGAAGAAGAUUCCAUUCUGAGAACUGCUGUUCCUUCCUCCUCCGCCCCACACGUUGGUUUGUACCGCUGUGUUUGUGCUG
RNAcentral lists this long non-coding RNA (390 nucleotides) under Cricetulus griseus (Chinese hamster). RNAcentral describes it as "lncRNA (ENSCGRG00000025205.1)". Lineage: Eukaryota; Metazoa; Chordata; Mammalia; Rodentia; Cricetidae. The record is from RNAcentral.